Molecule: long non-coding RNA, 792 nt
Filed under: Amazona collaria (yellow-billed parrot)
Lineage: Eukaryota; Metazoa; Chordata; Aves; Psittaciformes; Psittacidae
Description: lncRNA (ENSACOG00000004702.1)
Source: RNAcentral
GCCAUUUUGUGGUAGCUUUAUCAAUGUAUGACUCGGAGCAUGAAAUUAAUCCCUAAAGCAUUUUAUUCUUUGACAAGUUUUGCAACAAAUGGGACUUCAGAAUAAUGAUGAAAUCAUUUUAUUUCAAAAGUGUCAGAAUGAGUUCAGCUGUAACAUUUCUGCUGGGGCUAUAGCAAUGUGUUUAUUUCUGUCCUUAGGAAAAAAAAUCAAUAAAGAUGGAUGUAUGUCACUUUAAAGCGAAGAGAACUCUGAGAUCCGAAAGUGUCUAUGCAUAUAGAUAAAGUUCAUUAUGGGGAAAUUUAACUACAAAAGUCUAUAAUUUGUUAAACAGGGAGAAGAGCUGGAAGAUCUAUCACUUUAAUGAUUACUUAAUGGGAAAAGACUACUUAAGUUCUGGGACACUGUUCACAGAAUUAUCUGUGCUGCUUGUGAAGCUACAGACUGAACCUGAGCUGCUGUGCGGAGUGGGAGCCCUUGACAACUCCUCAACAGGCAAAGGAGCUGGGAAGUCAAGUGUUGUGUGGGACACCGAUAGCAAUAAUAUUGCAAUGCUUUUGUUCUGUGGAAGAGACAAAAUUGAAGGAGCACAUCUGCAGGCCUUGCAUCCUGUUGCACUACUUAUUUAUCUGGCUGGCAACACAGAAUUAUUCAGGGAUUUAAUUAAUGUUUUGAAAUCAUUUUGAGGGAGUUGCCAGAAGAUCCAAGAAAAUCUGGUAAUUUCCUGUUUAAAAACUUCAUAGGCUGUGGAGUGUAAAACCAUUUGAGAGAAGAAAGAAAACCUGUAAAUAGUUA